CAAACUGUUCCAAACAGAAAGUUUCAGAUGUAGCUCGGAUGAGAUGACAAUGAACUACAGAAAGAAGAGUCCAGAUAGAAUUGCCUUGGGAAAGGUGUUUGGAGCUGGGAACAAGAUGCUCUGAAUUUGAGUUCUGUUUCAUGAAUGAAUUAGCAGAAAGGCCUUGGGGAAUUUUAAGUUGCCCAUUUACUUAAUAGGCACUAUGUCCUCGACAUUGUAGUUUGUGCUGUUGGAGCUACAAAGACAUCCAAGACAUGAAUCCUAAGGACUUGCUACCUAGUAGGAAAGAAAGAACAUUCACAAAACAAACAGGUCACCAAAUGUAUUUUCUUGGUGGAUAUCCACAGUAGCUCAAGAACUGCAAUAAACCCUGAUAUUAACAACUGAAAGGCCAGGGAUUUAGCUCAGCGGUUCCGGCACCUGCCUUGCAAGCCCAAGGUCCCAAGUUUGAUCCCUGGUACCAAAAAAAAAUUGAAAAUAUUUUAACAUCUGGUUUAUCUGCAAUACUGUAAGCAUUUUGUUAUUAAUUAGAAUUAAUUCUAUCUGCUUUGGUUAAUGAUCUCCUUUGAAAGAUUUAUAAGCUUUCCUUUGGACAAAUAGCAACUUAUUUUGAUAAAGCACAAUCCUUAGUUUUCAAUAUUAAGCUACAUCCUUUAAAAUGGCUAUUAAUACUAAAGAAUAGAGGCUGUUAGUAGGAGACAUGUACAAUGUCAAAGGAAUGCACAUGCCAGUCAUGACUAAUACUAUUUCAGAGGAAAUUUCUAACAAAAAGGAGAUUUUUCCAUGUAAUAAGGCAUUUAUUUUAAUCAACAGAAGGUUUAAUAAAGAUCCUAAACAAAUUUGUUGUAAUAGGUAUGAAGGAAUUGAAUAGAAUUUCCCAGGAAAUAUCACUCAUAAUGUUCCCAUUCUAAUAGUUCAGCAGUGUUCUUAUACUUUCUGUGGCUGGAAUCCCAGGUAGAAAACUUUUCAGCUCCUGAGGCCAUAACACAGCCACCCCUCACUGCAGCUAACGUUUCUGAGAAUUUAGUGUGAGUGAGACAUUGCUGCAUGCUGCACUUCGUUAUCUCAUUGUAAUGCUCAGAAUCCAGUGAAACAGGCACAAAUGUUACGGUCCUUUUAUAGUCAGAUAAGAAACUGAGGCAAACAGAUUCUUGUUCAAGGGGCAGUAUUAAAUAGAACACAAGAUACAUUAUAUUGGCUGUUUCACCUUCUCUAUCACACUGAAAGAAUAAGAUUUUUUAAAGGAAUGUCAAGUUGAACUCUACAGCUGUUA
This is a long non-coding RNA of Heterocephalus glaber (naked mole-rat), 1273 nucleotides long. The record is from Ensembl. NCBI's taxonomy places the organism in Eukaryota, Metazoa, Chordata, Mammalia, Rodentia, Bathyergidae.